Molecule: ribosomal RNA, 3390 nt
Filed under: Triticum aestivum (bread wheat)
Lineage: Eukaryota; Viridiplantae; Streptophyta; Magnoliopsida; Poales; Poaceae
Description: partial small subunit ribosomal RNA
Source: RNAcentral
AUGGUGUCCACAGAAUCGCAUCCUCCAACCAAUAGUCCAAUACACAACAUGCAAACACUAGGCAGCAAAAUGCCAUCUUCCUCGACACCAUUGUUGUACCUCUGCCUGUGGCUGGUGGUGUGCCUUCUUCUCUUGCAAGAAGCACACGCGGCUCACCAUGGAGGGAUCUCACUGAGGUCGCAACACAUGGCCCUCCUCCACUGGAAAGCUACACUUGCGAGCCCACCACCGCAGAUGAGCUCUUGGCAGGAAAACACCAGCCCGUGCAACUGGACGGGCAUCAUGUGCACGGCUGUUCGCCAUGGCCGCCGCAUGCCCUGGGUGGUGACCAACAUUUCCCUGCCGGAUGCUGGCAUCCAUGGCCAGCUUGGUGAGCUCAACUUCUCGGCUCUUCCAUUCCUUGAAUAUAUUGACCUCAGUAACAACAGUCUCCAUGGUGCACUACCUGCUAGUAUUAGCUCCCUGUCAGCACUUUCGGUACUUGGCCUUCGGCAGAACCAGCACACAGGGAAAAUCCCACAUGAGAUUGGAGACCUGCAAAGUCUCAGGGUGCUUGAACUCUCAUUUAACAGAUUCACAGGACAGAUCCCUGCAUCUCUAGGCAACCUAACAAUGUUAACUAAUCUCAUCAUUGACCAAACCAUGGUAUCAGGUCCCAUUCCUGAGGAGAUUGGAAGGCUUGUCAACCUACAAAUCCUACAGCUAACCAACAGCACCUUAAGCGGUCUGAUACCAAAAACCCUUGGAAAUCUGACCCAACUAAAUACUUUGUACCUGUUCUAUAAUCAACUUUCAGGGCCUAUACCGAAAGAACUAGGCAGGUUAAUCCAUUUGCAAAGUCUUGAGCUUAGUUUAAAUGAUUUUUCAGGUCCAAUUCCUAUAACCAUAACCAAUCUGACUAAGUUGAACCAACUUUUCCUCUCUGAAAAUCAAAUCACAGGUUCCAUCCCCCCGAAAAUAGGAAAUCUCAAUAUGUUAAACAAUCUUGAUCUAAUGAAAAAUCAAAUAACAGGUUCAAUACCCCGAGAACUUAGCAACCUCACUAUGUUAAAUGAACUUUAUCUCUACAAAAAUCAAAUCACUGGUUCAAUACCUAUAGAACUGGGCAUCUUGCCAAAUCUACAAGAAUUAGACUUUUCGUACAACCAAAUAUCUGGCUUUAUUCCUGGCAGCUUAGGAAAUAUAACCAAGCUGGUAGUACUUUCCCUUGAUGUAAAUCAGAUAACCGGUUCCAUUCCCCAAGAGAUUGGCAAUCUGAUGAACCUCGAACUAUUAGGCUUGUAUCAGAACCAUAUUUCAGGAUCAAUACCAAAAACCUUUGGGAAGUUGCAAAGCAUCCAAGAACUACAAAUCUAUGAUAACAAAUUAUCAGGUUCUCUUCCUCGAGAAUUCGGAGAUCUAGUAAACCUUGUUCGACUUGGGCUAUCUAGAAACUCACUUUCAGGACCUUUACCCGCAAAUAUAUGUUCAGGUGGUAGACUAGAACAAAUAGUUGUCUUCUCUAAUAUGUUCAAUGGCCCUAUUCCAAGUAGUUUAAAGAAAUGUACAAGUUUGGUUCGAAUUGACCUUCAGUCGAACCAACUAACAGGAGAUAUAUCUCAGCAUUUUGGUGUCUAUCCACAACUCACAAGGAUGGCCUUGUCAUCAAAUAGACUCUCGGGGCAGAUCUCCCAAAAUCUAGGUGCAUGUAGCCAACUGAUGGUACUACGUCUAGCACAAAAUAUGAUCACGGGUUUCAUACCUCCUAUCCUUUCUAAAUUAUCCAAGCUGGAAGAACUAAGACUUGAUUAUAAUCAUCUCAGAGGUGAGAUUCCACCAGAAAUUUGCAGUUUAACAAAUCUCUAUAGACUAAACUUAUCAUCGAACCAAUUAUCUGGAUCCAUACCUACACAGAUAGAAAAGCUAGGAAAUCUAGGAUACCUUGAUAUAUCUGGGAAUAGACUGAGUGGAUUAAUACCUGAGGAACUAGCGACCUGCAUCAUACUAUUGUCCUUGAAGAUCAACAACAAUAACUUCAGUGGGAGUUUGCCUGGUGCAAUUGGAAAUUUGAUAGGCCUGCAGAUCACGUUAGACGUGAGCAACAAUAACCUAAGUGGUGUGUUGCCGCAACAACUUGGGAAGUUGCAGAUGCUAGAAUUUCUGAAUCUAUCACAUAAUCAGUUCAGUGGCACCAUUCCAUCCUCCUUUGCAAGCAUGGUGAGCCUUUCAACGCUUGAUGUGUCAUACAAUGACUUGGAAGGACCAGUCCCAACAGUCAGGCAACUCCAAAAUGCUUCAGCAAAUUGGUUUCUUCCCAAUAAAGGUCUGUGUGGUAACCUCUCUGGCCUACAACUUUGCGAUUCAACUCCAGUUGCAGCCGGUCACCACAAACGGAAGAUACUUGGUUUGCUUUUGCCAAUUGUUCUGGUGGUGGGUUUUGGCAUUCUUUCUGCAACUGUUGUCAUAAUAAUGCUUAGUCGUAGCAAGACAAAACCACAAGAAGUUGUUACUGCUGAAGGAAGGGACCUAUUCUCUGUUUGGAAUUUCGACGGAAGAUUAGCAUUUGAUGAUAUCGUAAGGGCAACAGAAGACUUUGAUGAUAAGUACAUCAUUGGAACAGGAGGAUACGGCAAUGUCUACAAGGCACAACUCCAAGACAGGCAGCUAGUUGCUGUGAAGAAGCUUCAUCAGACAGAAGAAGAGUUGGACGACGAAAGAAGGUUUCGCAGUGAAAUGGAAAUCUUGUUACAGAUCCGCCAACGGAGCAUUGUCAAAAUGUAUGGAUUCUGCUCCCAUUCAGCGUAUAAAUUUCUUGUCUACGACUACAUUCAGCAGGGAAGCCUCCACCGGAUGUUGGAAAAUGAGGAGACAGCAAGGGAAUUGGAUUGGCAAAAGAGAAUUGUUGUUGUAAAUGAUGUGGCUCAAGCAAUAUCUUAUUUGCACCACGAAUGCAGUCCACCUAUAAUCCAUCGAGAUAUAACGAGCAACAACAUCUUACUUGAUGCAACCUUCAAGGCUUUCGUCUCGGAUUUCGGCACAGCAAGAAUUCUUAAGCCUGAUUCAUCAAACUGGAGUGCACUAGCAGGGACGUAUGGGUACAUAGCUCCUGAACUCUCGUACACAUCUGUUGUCACGGAGAAAUGUGAUGUCUAUAGCUUUGGUGUGGUUGUGCUAGAGCUACUUAUGGGGAAGCAUCCAAGGGAUCUAUUAGACGGUAGUUUGUCAAACAGGGAACAAGCUAUGCUGGUGAAAGAUAUUCUGGACCAGCGACCGACAACACCAACAACAAUAGAAGAGAAUAGCUUAGCUCUGCUCAUCAAGCUGGCCUUCUCUUGCUUGGAAUCUUCUCCACAAGCAAGGCCAACCAUGAGGCAGGCAUACCAGACACUCAUCCAGAAGACCCUCUUGUAG